RNAcentral lists this transfer RNA (72 nucleotides) under Sphaerodactylus townsendi. RNAcentral describes it as "tRNA-Ala". It matches the Rfam family "tRNA". From Rfam's summary of the family: Transfer RNA (tRNA) molecules are approximately 80 nucleotides in length. Their secondary structure includes four short double-helical elements and three loops (D, anti-codon, and T loops). The record is from RNAcentral. Lineage: Eukaryota; Metazoa; Chordata; Lepidosauria; Squamata; Sphaerodactylidae.
GGGGCCGUGGCUCAGUCGUAGAGCAUCUGGUUUGCAUGUAGAAGAUCCCAGGUUCAAGCCCUAGUGACUCGA